RNAcentral lists this ribosomal RNA (423 nucleotides) under uncultured bacterium. Its description in RNAcentral is "bacterial SSU rRNA". It matches the Rfam family "Bacterial small subunit ribosomal RNA", at positions 917 to 1345 of the family's 1533-position model. The record is from RNAcentral.
GGGCCCGCACAAGCGGUGGAGUAUGUGGUUUAAUUCGAUGCAACGCGAAGAACCUUACCAGGGUUUAAAUGCAGAACGACAGGGGUGGAAACACCCCUUCUUCGGACGGACUGCAAGGUGCUGCAUGGUUGUCGUCAGCUCGUGCUGUGAAGUGUCGGGUUAAGUCCCAUAACGAGCGCAACCCCCAUUUCUAGUUGCCAGCGGUUCGGCCGGGGACUCUAGAGAAACUGCCAGCGUAAGCUGUGAGGAAGGUGGGGAUGACGUCAAAUCAUCACGGCCCUUACGUCCUGGGCUACACACGUGCUACAAUGGUAGGGACAGAGAGUUGCCAACCCGCGAGGGUGAGCUAAUCUUCAAACCCUAUCUCAGUUCGGAUCGGAGUCUGCAACUCGACUCCGUGAAGUUGGAAUCGCUAGUAAUCGC